CCCGUCUAGAAACACGGACCAAGGAGUCUGACGCGUGUGCGAGUACUAGAGUGGCAAGCUCGAGUGCGCAAUGAAAGUGAAGGGCGUGCCCCGUCAACCGAUCUUGAUCUUCUGUGAAGGGUUUGAGUGGAGCACAUCUGUCGGGACCCGAAAGAUGGUGAACUAUGCCUGAGGAGGGUGAAGCCAGAGGAAACUCUGGUGGAGGCUCGUAGCGAUACUGACGUGCAAAUCGUUCGUCGAACUUGGGUAUAGGGGCGAAAGACUAAUCGAACCAUCUAGUAGCUGGUUCCCUCCGAAGUUUCCCUCAGGAUAGCUUGAACGCCGACGGUUUUGUCAGGUAAAGCGAAUGAUUAGAGGCCUUGGGGCUGAAACAGCCUUAACCUAUUCUCAAACUUUAAAUGGGCAAGAGGCGCCGGAUGCUUGACUGAUCCGGCGCG
This 437-nucleotide ribosomal RNA is filed under the name Phaeocystis globosa. RNAcentral describes it as "eukaryotic LSU rRNA". It matches the Rfam family "Eukaryotic large subunit ribosomal RNA", at positions 648 to 1107 of the family's 3401-position model. The record is from RNAcentral. Lineage: Eukaryota; Haptophyta; Phaeocystales; Phaeocystaceae.